Molecule: ribosomal RNA, 427 nt
Filed under: uncultured bacterium
Lineage: Bacteria
Description: bacterial SSU rRNA
Rfam family: Bacterial small subunit ribosomal RNA
Source: RNAcentral
GUGGGGAAUCUUCCGCAAUGGGCGAAAGCCUGACGGAGCAAUGCCGCGUGAGUGACGAAGGCCUUCGGGUUGUAAAGCUCUGUCUUUAGGGACGAAGAUAUGACGGUACCUAAAGAGGAAGCCACGGCUAACUACGUGCCAGCAGCCGCGGUAAUACGUAGGUGGCAAGCGUUGUCCGGAAUGACUGGGCGUAAAGGGCGCGUAGGUGGACUGAUCAGUCGGAUGUGAAAUAUCCGGGCUUAACCUGGAGGGUGCAUCCGAUACGGUCAGUCUUGAGUGCAGGAGAGGGCAGUGGAAUUCCCAGUGUAGCGGUGAAAUGCGUAGAGAUUGGGAGGAACACCAGUGGCGAAGGCGGCUGCCUGGACUGUAACUGACACUGAGGCGCGAAAGCGUGGGGAGCAAACAGGAUUAGAAACCCUAGUAGUCC